Triticum aestivum (bread wheat) is the source of this 115-nucleotide non-coding RNA. NCBI's taxonomy places the organism in Eukaryota, Viridiplantae, Streptophyta, Magnoliopsida, Poales, Poaceae. The record is from Rfam.
CAUGUACUCCCUCCGUUCAGAAUUACUUGUCACAAAAAUGAAUGUAUCUACAACUAAAAUACAUCUAGAUACAUUCAUUUCUUAGACGAGUAAUUCCGAACGGAGGGAGUACUUA